UUGAUCCUGGCUCAGAAUCAACGCUGGCGGCGUGCCUAACACAUGCAAGUCGAACGCGGUUAUCCCGCAAGGGAUAACUGAGUGGCGAACGGGUGAGUAUCACGUGGGUGACCUACCUUCGAGUGGGGGAUAACGUCCCGAAAGGGACGUUAAUACCGCAUAACAUCCUGCCUUUGAACAGGUGGAGAUCAAAGCUGGGUAUCGCAAGACCUGGCGCUUGAUGAGGGGCCCGCGUCCGAUUAGCUAGUUUGUGGGGUAACGGCCCACCAAGGCGACGAUCGGUAACCGGCCUGAGAGGGUGGACGGUCACACUGGGACUGAGACACGGCCCAGACUCCUACGGGAGGCAUCAGUGGGGAAUUGUUCGCAAUGGGCGCAAGCCUGACGACGCAACGCCGCUUGGAGGAUGAAGGUCUUCGGAUUGUAGACUCCUGUUGCUCGGGACGAAAUGCUUCAACCUAAUACGUUGAAGUUUGACGGUACCGGGUGAGGAAGCCCCUGCUAACUCUGUGCCAGCAGCCGCGGUAAUAAGGU
Molecule: ribosomal RNA, 534 nt
Filed under: uncultured Acidobacteriota bacterium
Lineage: Bacteria; Pseudomonadati; Acidobacteriota
Description: bacterial SSU rRNA
Rfam family: Bacterial small subunit ribosomal RNA
Source: RNAcentral